RNAcentral lists this ribosomal RNA (377 nucleotides) under uncultured bacterium. Its description in RNAcentral is "bacterial SSU rRNA". It matches the Rfam family "Bacterial small subunit ribosomal RNA", at positions 521 to 896 of the family's 1533-position model. The record is from RNAcentral.
UAAUACGUAGGGGGCAAGCGUUGUCCGGAUUUAUUGGGCGUAAAGCGCUCGCAGGCGGCUCGAUGCGUCGUGCGUGAAACACCCCGGCUCAACUGGGGAGGGUCGUGCGAUACGGUCGGGCUUGAGGCCAGUAGGGGGAUGCGGAAUUCCGGGUGUAGUGGUGGAAUGCGUAGAGAUCCGGAGGAACACCAGCGGCGAAGGCGGCAUCCUGGACUGGUACUGACGCUCAUGAGCGAAAGCGUGGGGAGCGAUCCGGAUUAGAUACCCGGGUAGUCCACGCUGUAAACGAUGCGGACUAGGUGUCGGGGGUAUCGACCCCCUCGGUGCCGCAGCUAACGCGCUAAGUCCGCCGCCUGGGGACUACGGCCGCAAGGCUA